RNAcentral lists this ribosomal RNA (253 nucleotides) under uncultured bacterium. Its description in RNAcentral is "partial 16S ribosomal RNA". It matches the Rfam family "Bacterial small subunit ribosomal RNA", at positions 524 to 776 of the family's 1533-position model. The record is from RNAcentral.
UACGUAGGGUGCGAGCGUUAACCGGAAUCAUUGGGCGUAAAGAGCGUGUAGGCGGUUCGGGAAGUCGGCUGUGAAAGUCCAGGGCUCAACCCUGGGAUGCCGGUCGAUACUGCCGGACUAGAGUUCGGAAGAGGCGAGUGGAAUUCCCGGUGUAGCGGUGAAAUGCGCAGAUAUCGGGAGGAACACCUAUGGCGAAGGCAGCUCGCUGGGACGUUACUGACGCUGAGACGCGAAAGCGUGGGGAGCAAACAGG